UGGGGAAUAUUGGACAAUGGGCGAAAGCCUGAUCCAGCGACGCCGCGUGGGUGAAGAAGGCCUGCGGGUUGUAAAGCCCUUUCGGUAGGGACGAAAACCUUCGACUUAACACGUCGAGGGAUUGACUUAACCCACAUAAGAAGCACCGGCUAACUCUGUGCCAGCAGCCGCGGUAAUACAGAGGGUGCGAGCGUUAAUCGGAAUUACUGGGCGUAAAGCGCACGUAGGCGGCUUUGCAAGUCGGUUGUGAAAUCCCCGGGCUCAACCUGGGAACUGCGACCGAGACUGCAUUGCUAGAGUAUGGGAGAGGAAAGCGGAAUUUCUGGUGUAGCAGUGAAAUGCGUAGAUAUCAGAAGGAACACCAGUGGCGAAGGCGGCUUUCUGGACCAAUACUGACGCUCAGGUGCGAAAGCGUGGGGAGCAAACAGGAUUAGAUACCCUGGUAGUCCACGCCCUAAACGAUGACAACUGGAUGUCGGGAGGGUUUGCCUUCCGGUGUCGUAGCUAACGCGUUAAGUUGUCCGCCUGGGAAGUACGGCCGCAAGGUUGA
RNAcentral lists this ribosomal RNA (550 nucleotides) under uncultured Steroidobacter sp. RNAcentral describes it as "bacterial SSU rRNA". It matches the Rfam family "Bacterial small subunit ribosomal RNA", at positions 355 to 897 of the family's 1533-position model. Lineage: Bacteria; Pseudomonadati; Pseudomonadota; Gammaproteobacteria; Steroidobacterales; Steroidobacteraceae. The record is from RNAcentral.